GAGUGAACGCUGGCGGUAGGCCUAACACAUGCAAGUCGAACGGCAGCACAGUAAGAGCUUGCUCUUACGGGUGGCGAGUGGCGGACGGGUGAGGAAUACAUCGGAAUCUACUUUUUCGUGGGGGAUAACGUAGGGAAACUUACGCUAAUACCGCAUACGACCUACGGGUGAAAGCAGGGGAUCUUCGGACCUUGCGCGAUUGAAUGAGCCGAUGUCGGAUUAGCUAGUUGGCGGGGUAAAGGCCCACCAAGGCGACGAUCCGUAGCUGGUCUGAGAGGAUGAUCAGCCACACUGGAACUGAGACACGGUCCAGACUCCUACGGGAGGCAGCAGUGGGGAAUAUUGGACAAUGGGCGCAAGCCUGAUCCAGCCAUACCGCGUGGGUGAAGAAGGCCUUCGGGUUGUAAAGCCCUUUUGUCGGGAAAGAAAAGCAGCAGGUUAAUACCCCGCUGUUCUGACGGUACCCAAAGAAUAAGCACCGGCUAACUUCGUG
RNAcentral lists this ribosomal RNA (493 nucleotides) under uncultured bacterium. Its description in RNAcentral is "partial 16S ribosomal RNA". It matches the Rfam family "Bacterial small subunit ribosomal RNA", at positions 27 to 507 of the family's 1533-position model. The record is from RNAcentral.